Long non-coding RNA from Hypanus sabinus (Atlantic stingray), 6949 nucleotides. RefSeq lists it as uncharacterized. The record is from RefSeq and is a predicted model, not a curated record. The transcript has 3 exons. NCBI's taxonomy places the organism in Eukaryota, Metazoa, Chordata, Chondrichthyes, Myliobatiformes, Dasyatidae.
ACCUGCAGGUUGAAUGUCCAAAGCUGCAGCCAUCUGGGGAUUCUGGUUCCAUUCUGAAGGAUGAGUUCACCUUGGCUGAGAACUGGAGGUAGAGAGAUUAAGAGAGAAGAUGCUGGAGAGAACGGGUCAUAGGAUUCGAUUCGGUGGGGACUGCGAUUCGAUGGAGCACGUGCGGGAGUCGACUGAGGAUCGGUGUCUGGGGUCCUGUUAAAGUCUGUGAUCUACAGCUGCAGUCAAACUGCAUUUCUGCACGGUGGGGGAUCUCUGCUCUCGGAUCUCGCCAAGCAGCCUAGCGUUUUUGAUAUCUCCAGGAGCAGCCUGAAGGACUCCGCAACCCUAUAGAUGAACCAAUUCCUCACUGAUAUUGCCGAAUGAAGCAUUGCAGGAGAUGGGACCAUCAAGAUCGUAGUGUACGUGCUGUUGAAAUAAGCAAUGCUGUUGACUGUAACAGCAACACAGUGAGCCCUUGGCCUCCCCUCUCACCAUGACAGGAGAGAGACAGAGCCUGUGGGAUGCCAUAAUGUUGGGGUGAACAGUGGGACUUAUAAUAGACUCUAGAUCAUUGUGGAUCAAUACACAAUGCUAUAAACUUUCAAUACACAUCUAUUGCUAUUGACCUAUUGUGGCAAUAGGCAAAUUGCAAUGGGUCCAGGAGUUCAGUCUAGUCAUGACCAACCUCUCAAAACAUUUCAUCACUCUCGAUAUCAGUGCUACUGGGUGAUAGUCAUUAAGGCAGCUCACAUUAUUCUUUUUAGGCACUGGUAUAAUUGUCGCCUUUUUGAAGCAUCCACCCGUAGCAGUCAGAGGUUGAAAAUCUCCUUGAAUACUGCUAGUUGGUUGGCACAGGUUUUCAGAGCCCUAGCAGGUACUCCAUCAGGACUUUCCACUUUGUGAGGGUUCACUCUCUUUAAAGACAGUCUAACAUUGGCCUCUGAGACAGAGAUCACAGGGUCACCAGGUGCAGCAGGGACCUUCACAACUGUAGUUGUGUUUUCCCUUUCAAAGCGGGCAUAGAAGGCAUUGAGUUCAUCUGGUAGUGAAGCAUCGCCACCAUUCAUACUAUUGGGUUUCACUUUGUAGGAAGUAAUGUCUUGCAGACCCUGCCAGAGUUGCUGUGCAUCUGAUAUCUCCUCCAACCUCAUUUGAAAUUGUCUCUUAGCCCUUGAAAUAGUUCUCUGCGUACCUGGUUUUCUGGUACAGGCCUGGGUCACCAGACUUGAAUGCCACAGAUCUAGCCUUCAGCAGACAACAUACUUCCUGGUUCAUCCACGGCUUUUGGUUUGGGAAUGUGCAGUAAGUCUUUGUAGGCACACACUCAUCCACACAGGUUUUAAUGAGGUCAGUAACAACUGCAGCAUACUCAUCCAGAUUCGAAGAUGAAUCCCUGAGUAGACCGAUUCAAAACAGUCUUGUUGACGUUCCUGUGCUUCCCUUGUCCUUACCUUCUUGGUCCUCAUUGCUGGUGUUGCAGUCUUCAGUCUCUGCCUAUAUCAGGGAGUAGAAGUACAGCCAGGUGAUCAGACUUCCCGAAGUGAGGGCAUGGACUAACAUGGUAGGCAUUAUUGAUGGUGGUGUAGCAAUGGUCCAGUGUGUUGUUUCCUCUGGUAUUGCAAGUGAUCUGUUGAUGGUAAUUACUUAGUUUUUUUUUCAGACUGGCCUGGUUAAAACCUCCCAAAACAAUGAAACAAAACAAUGUUAGGGUACACUGUUUUGUGCAUGUUGAUCCCAUUGCUCAGGUCAUCUAAAGCCUGAUUGACAUCAACCUGAGUUGGGAAGUAAACUGCUACCAAAAUGACCCCAGAGAACUUCCGUGGCAGGUAAAAAGGGACAGCACUUAACUGCUAGAUAUUCCAGAUCUGGUGAGCAGAAUUGGGAUAGCAGAUAUAUUUGCGCAUCAAGAAGAGUUGAUCAUGAGGCAUUCUCAUCCACCUCUGCUUUGAGAGACUCUAUACAUCAUCCUGACAGUGUAUACUAAACCCAUCAAUCUGGAUCGUUGUAGCCAGUACAGAAGGGGUUAACCAGGAUUCCUUGAAACAAAGGCAUUUCCUUUAUCUCCACCGCAUCUCCAUCUCAGCAUGAGGCUUUUCAUUCUGAAAUGUCUUCCUUUGUAAAAGAAUGCAGUUCUCUCUCCACUGUCAUUGCUGCUGCCCUCGCCUCCAUUUCCCAGACACCUGUUCUCAUCCCAUCCCCGCUGAGUCGCAAGUCAAAUUUAGAUUUUUGUUUUAGGCUCACAGGGAUGGUUUGGGGGCCUGAGAGUGGAGUUGGGGGUCUGGUUAUGGUUUAGGGACAGGAUGUGGGUGAUUUAGAGGUCAGUCCAGUCAAGAUCUCUGCUCAAUAUCCAAAGGCCAGAGAGGUGGAGGUGGUAUAUCUGUAAUCAGAUGUCAAAGGUCAGGCCAGCGGACAAGCACACUUGAGGGCCAGUCAUCCCCUGCCGUGUCAGAGAGUUGUCAGCUGGUUUUGGAAUUGGAGUACCAUGUGGUCUAGAGGGAUGAGGUCCAAUGACUCUCUGAGUUAGCAAAACAUUGAAACUGGAGUUCAACACCUAGUGUUUAGGGUCUCUUCAGUGAUGUGUUUAGUGUUCGAGGCCUAAUGUUCAGUGAUUUGAGGGUCCUGUGGUCAAUGUCAAGGAUCGAGGCCCAAGUGUCAAAUCACAAGUCUGAAAGUCGAGUCCCAUUUGCUGGACACCCAAGUGUGUGAAUCUCUGUGAGGUCCACUGGUGAAGUUGAAGCCCAGUUUCUCAAGCCCGAGUCUGCUGGAACCUAAAGGCUGAAGAAAAUGGCAUGUCCUGUGGAUGGUUGACUGAGUAUGUGCAAGGGUAGGAGAGAGGAAUAGGGCUUGUUUUUACUGUUGUUAUUUACUGUUUGCUGUGUUCUGUUUUUGUUGUAUUCUGUGUUGUUCUGCAUUUGGGUUCAGGUUAUGCCAAUGUGGUUAUGCCUCGUUGAUGUUGGAAUGUACGUCAACAAUUGUGGGCUGUCCCCAGAACACCCAAGAUUGUACUGGUUGUUAAUGCAUUUCACAGUAUGUUUCAAUGUAGAGUACACAUGAUAAAUAAACUUGAAUCCCCCCCACUAUAGCAGGUAUAAAGUCCCCAUGUCCUUGCUUACCAUCCCACGUGCCUCCAGGAGCCAUAGAUUAUUCUCUAUAACUUCUACCAUCUACAACUGGAUGCUACCACUAAGCAUGAUUCCCCCCCCCCCUUCCCCACCACUUUCCACAGGAAUUGCUUUCUACCUGACCCCUUGUCCACUUGUCCUUCCCCACUGAUCUCCCUCCUGUUACUUAGCAGGACAAAUGCUACACCUCCUCCAUGACCACCACUCAGGGGCCCAAACAGUCCUCCCUGGUGAGGCAACUCUUUACUUGUGAGUUUGUUGGGAUCAGCUCCUGUGUCCUGUGCUGUCUGUGUGGCCUCCUCUGCAUUGGUGAGGCCCAGUGUAGACUAGGGGUCUGCUUUGUUGAGCACAUUCAUUCCCUCUGCAACAAAAAAUGGGAUUUCCCUGUAACCACCAUUUGAAUUGGACUUCCCAUUCCUAUUCCAACAUGUCAGUCCAUGGCCUCCUCUGCUGCCACAAUGAGGCUACACUCAGUUUGGAGCAGCAGCACCUCAUAUUUUAUCUGGGUAGCCAACAAUCUGAUGGCAUGAGCAUCAAUUUCUCUGACAUCUGGCAAUUUCUACCUUCUCUUUUUUUUAUAUUCCCCAUUCUGAAACCCUUCUCACCUGCCCAUCAUCUCCCUCUGGAGCCCCUCUUCCUUCCCUUUCUCCCAUGUUCCACUGUCCUCUCCUAUCAGGUUCCUCCUUUGUCAGCUCUUUACCUCUUCCACCCAUCAAUUCCUAGCUUCUUACCUCAUCACCCCAUCCCACCCAUCUACCUUCCCCCUCAACUGAAACUUUACAUGCCUGCCUCUCCUCCACCUUCUUAUUCUGGUUUCUGUUCUCUUCCAUCUGAGUCUGGUGAAGGGACUUGGCCAGAAACAUAGACUAGUUAUUCCUUCUAUAGAUGCUGCCUGACUUGCUGAGUUCCUUCAGCAAUUUGUUUGCGUUGCACCUGCAGAAUCUCUUGUGUUUAUGACCAAUGUUGUACUUCUGCAUUGGAAGAGCUUGCUUACUUGACCUUCUAAGUAAUAGAGUUCACAAGCUUAGGAGGCGUUGUUGGAUAAUCUUUGGGAAAUGCUUUUUAAAGAUAGCACCCACUGCAGCCACUGAUUUAGUGGUGGAGGGUAUGAAGGUUUAGAUAGAAUACCAAUCGAGUGGGCCACUUUGCCCUGAAUAGUGUCAAGAUUCCUGAGUAUCGUCUGGACACUUCCUACUGCCUCACCUGGAAAACUGUUUGAUGGUGGGGGGGGGGGGGGCGGUGGAGGUGCAGGGACAGCUGUAUCACUAGCAUGUUUGCCAGGUGGGAGCUCAGUGGGGAGGAACAAGUGGAUAAGAGAGUAAUAUAGAGAGUGAUUCCUACAGAAAGCAGAGAGUGGGGUGGGGAGGGAAAAUUAUAUAUAUGACCAGUUGUAGAUGUUUGAAGUUACAGAGAAUAAUGUUAAUGUUGUUCUGGAUACGGAGGCUCAUAGGAUGAUAGGCUAGGAUAAGCAAAACUCUUUCCCUGUUCUGGCAUUGGGAUUUAAGAUUCAAGAUUCAAGUCUAUUUAUCACACACACAUCAAAAUAUGCAGGGAAACAUACUGAAUUGGACUCCAAUUAACUGUCAAGUAGUAUUCAAGCACAGAAAUAGUAGAAUCAGCAGGGAGUGAGGCUAUUGAUGUGUAAUAUACAAUUCAUUAAUAUUGCAAUGAUACAAGGUGCCCUGCAUUAUACUUCAGCCAUAGGAAACAUUUUUUAAUGAUGAUGUGAUUCACACAAAUUUAUUGAAGCUAUAAAAAAGCAAAGCACAUGUCAACACUUUGGAAUAUAUUUAUGAUGUCUGAAUGAUGAGAAUUAACUUCAACUAGGAUUUGUAGUUAACACAGAAAGAUUUGACGUCUAGUGGGAUAUUUUGAAUUCAUCAUGACGUCUAGAAUUAGUGGGAUAUUUUGAAUUCAUUUUUUUAAUAUAUGACAAGAAAAGAUUUCUAUUCAGAUCAGAAUGGGAAAAUCAAGAUUUUGCUAAUCAAUGCUUUCUGAAUGUAGUGUAGAAUAUGCUUAAUUAAAGUUACUUUAUUAAGAGAAGAAGAAUUGUUCUGACUGGGAUUUUUGUAAUAUGGAAAGAAUUUUACAGGAUAGAUACUGAGAUGGUGGUGGAGUUGCUGGAGUACGUUAUUAUCUACAGCAACACAUUUUGGCAGAAAACAUCAUUUGUACUUUUUUCCAUGGAUGCUGCCUGACCUGCUGAGUUCCUCCAGCAUUUUGUGUGUAUUGCUCAAAUUUCCAGCAUCUGCAGAUUUUCUCUUAUUUGUCAUUAUCUACAGAUUCCCCUCCAGCUGGAAAUACCUUGUUGGUCCUACUUUGUUGCUGGAUCAAAUCUGCAAAACUUCCAUUCCAAUGACACUGUGGGAGCACCUUCACCAGAAAGGUCACAGCAGUUCAAGAAGGCGACUCACCAUAACCUCCUCAAAGGCAAUGAGAAAUGGGCAUUAACAGUUUCUCUCUCCACAGACAUUACCUGAUCCAUUGAGUACUUCCAGCAUUUUUGGUUAUUUCAUAUUACAAGCAUUUGCUUUUCUCAGAUUCUCAAGCAUAACAGGGCAGCUGGGCUCUCGCUGCUCACCAUAAAGCGUCAACAAUAUUUUUUAGCAUUUUACCUAAAAAGUCUUCAAAUCCUAUAGGUCUCAUAUUGCAAAGAAUGAAGAAAAAAGGCUGUAUUUACCAAUAGCUUCUUUCUAAAUGAGAAAUACAUGCCCACUAAAACUCAUUAAAUAAUACCAAUCCAUGGUGUGAAAUGACCAACAGUGUGAGAUUCUUUUCCGAUCCAUGGUGCAAAGAAAUCUAGAAUAUAUGUUGGGCCUCCUAAUGGGUAUUAAAGUGGAUAAAUCCCCAGGGUUUACCCAGGUUUUUGAGGGAGGCCAGAGUCAAGAUUGCAGAGCUCUUGACCGGUAUCUUCAUGCACUUUCUAGCUAUGGGCAGGGUCCCAGAGGAAUGGCGAAUGGCUAAUGUACUUCUAUUAAAGAAAGGAAGAAAGGAAAAUCAUGGCAACUACAGACCAAGUGAGUCUCUCGUCUGUUGUAGGGAAAUUGCCAGAGAAAACUCUUGGGAAUAGGAUAUAUACGCAUUUAGAAACCCUUAGCCCAGGCAUGGGCAAACUACGACCCGCGGGCCAUAUGCGGCCCGUUAAGCUUUUUAAUCCAGCCCGCAGAACUUGAUGAAAUUAUAUUAAUAAACCUUGUUAACGUUUUUUCCCCGCAAUUCUGGCGUCUUCCCAAUAGAUGACGCACUCUAUAUACAUUGACCUUUGUUGAGGUGCAGCGUAUUACUCCACAUUUGCGCUUUACUUUGUGACCUUGUGGUGACCCAUUUCCUGGCACAUCCGAACCGGCUCACAAUUAGCUAGCGUUCCGGCUAAGGGAGAUAGCCUGCGGGGAUUUGCGAGCACAGAGCUCCGCAUAUUGGCCCGCUCUCACUGUUCUGUCAUUGUGCGGGUCGUUGUUGAGUUUUGGCACAGGGGAUAAUUGAAUAAGAAGGAGCAGGACAAGUAGACCUGCAUCUCCUGCCAUUUUUGAAAUAAAGACAGUCAGGAGGAGAGUGAUGAUGAUAAUAUCUUGAAGGAUAACAAAAUUUUCAGUGCUUUAAAAUAAUAACUGUUACUAUUAAAAAAAAGCUGUAUUUUAUUCAUUUAAUUUUCAGUGUUUUAAAAGACAUUUCAAUAAAUAGCUAAAUACCAUGGGACUUCAAAGACAGAUAUUUUGUUGUAAUGCAUUUGUUCAUUUUCAAUUGAAAUUAAAGCACAUGUUUUCUACAUAUCCCAUGAUAUUUUAUUUUCUCUUAUGAGGUGUAUUACCAAAACACUCCGUCCAUCUGCUCCUGGU